Molecule: ribosomal RNA, 253 nt
Filed under: uncultured bacterium
Lineage: Bacteria
Description: partial 16S ribosomal RNA
Rfam family: Bacterial small subunit ribosomal RNA
Source: RNAcentral
UACGGGGGGGGCAAGCGUUGUUCGGAAUUACUGGGCGUAAAGGGCUCGUAGGUGGCCAACUAAGUCAUACGUGAAAUCCCUCGGCUUAACCGGGGAACUGCGUCUGAUACUGGAUGGCUUGAGUUUGGGAGAGGGAUGCGGAAUUCCAGGUGUAGCGGUGAAAUGCGUAGAUAUCGGGAGGAACACCUAUGGCGAAGGCAGCUCGCUGGGACGUUACUGACGCUGAGACGCGAAAGCGUGGGGAGCAAACAGG